CAGAUGUUGGAAACUCACAAACAAUUUUAUGAGAAUUGUGCAGUAACCGAACUACUACUGACAUCUGUUUUACAAGAAAAUUCUGCAUUUUUAUUUAUAUUGACUGUACUGUAAACUCACCCAAAUUGUAGUAUUUCACAUUGUCUCCCAAUGUUACUUUCGUCAAGUCCUUCAAAGUAUCAUUUGCGUCAAUGAUGCUCUGGGCUUUGGAAGCAUGCCAAAAUGCCAUGAAUCUCGCAAUGAAUGAUGCUGCGAAAAUUGCUAACAUACCAAAAUCAAGCAUGUUCCACAACUCAAACAAAUAUUCCUUGGGGCCCUGAGUCCAGAUUUCUUUACAUUCAGCCCAUAUCAUGCCUAUUACCCAGGAUAUAAUGAGCAUCUCCAUCCAUGAGAAGCAGGAUGUUUUCAUCCUGAACAGCUGUUUUGCAUUAUCUGUGCUGGUUUCAUUAGGAA
Molecule: long non-coding RNA, 453 nt
Filed under: Homo sapiens (human)
Lineage: Eukaryota; Metazoa; Chordata; Mammalia; Primates; Hominidae
Description: LNC_000659
Source: RNAcentral